AUACGGAGGAUCCGAGCGUUAUCCGGAUUUAUUGGGUUUAAAGGGUGCGUAGGCGGUUUGCUAAGCGGGAGGUGAAAUGCCGGCGCUCAACGUCGGAAGUGCCUCCCGAACUGGUGGACUGGAAUGACUCUGCCGUGGGAGGAAUGUGUAGUGUAGCGGUGAAAUGCUUAGAGAUUACACAGAACACCGAUUGCGAAGGCAUCUCACGAAGGGUUGAUUGACGCUGAGGCACGAAAGCGUGGGGAUCAAACAGGAUUAGAUACCCUGGUAGUCCACGCAGUAAACGAUGAUGGCUAACCGCUGGUUUAUUCGGAUCAGUGGCCAAGCGAAAGCGAUAAGCCAUCCACCUGGGGAGUACGACCGCAAGGUUGAAACUCAAAGGAAUUGGCGGGG
RNAcentral lists this ribosomal RNA (393 nucleotides) under uncultured bacterium. RNAcentral describes it as "partial 16S ribosomal RNA". It matches the Rfam family "Bacterial small subunit ribosomal RNA", at positions 523 to 918 of the family's 1533-position model. The record is from RNAcentral.